AUAAAAUUGUUCUUUUAAACUUGUGCAUUGUUUGACUUCUAAAAUUUUUGUAUCAGGUAUAAAAUGACUUUUUAAAUAAAGUUGUUUUAAUGUGAGCAGCUCCUAUUGGCUCGUUUAAAAAGAGGGAGGAGCAGAUUGCACCGCCUAGCGUCUAGUCUUCGCGGUCUUUCGUCAGUUGCGCCUUUUCUCUCCCUGGUGUUUGAGAACGUGGAGGACAAAAGGAUACCAAAGAAUCGAAAACUAUGACAAAGAUUCUUCAAGAUCACAAGCACCAUCUUUAACAUGUUGCCAUGGUAGCAGAUACAGGGGGA
Molecule: long non-coding RNA, 311 nt
Organism: Oreochromis niloticus (Nile tilapia)
Lineage: Eukaryota; Metazoa; Chordata; Actinopteri; Cichliformes; Cichlidae
Exons: 3
Source: RefSeq, a predicted model, not a curated record